RNAcentral lists this long non-coding RNA (242 nucleotides) under Elaeis guineensis (African oil palm). RNAcentral describes it as "long non-coding RNA (EGUI_LNC067047)". Lineage: Eukaryota; Viridiplantae; Streptophyta; Magnoliopsida; Arecales; Arecaceae. The record is from RNAcentral.
GCUGGGGUCAUUAAUGGAAGCGACAGGCCACAUGUCAGGUGAGGUGAUGCUACCCGCUAAAUCCAUGGAAAUCAAAACGAGGAUUUUGAGGGUAUGCUCCACAGAGGUAGCAAGGUCUCCCACAAUCUUUUCCCUCUCACGGCUCUUGCCUCUAUAAAUAGAGACAAUUAGAGGACCCCCAAGGUAUGCAACUCUUUCGUACGGUCAUUCUCAUCUAUUCUAGAUUUCUGACUUGAGCGUUG